UGUGUGACUGCGUACCUUUUGUAUAAUGGGUCAGCGACUUAUAUUCUGUAGCAAGGUUAACCGAAUAGGGGAGCCGAAGGGAAACCGAGUCUUAACUGGGCGUUAAGUUGCAGGGUAUAGACCCGAAACCCGGUGAUCUAGCCAUGGGCAGGUUGAAGGUUGGGUAACACUAACUGGAGGACCGAACCGACUAAUGUUGAAAAAUUAGCGGAUGACUUGUGGCUGGGGGUGAAAGGCCAAUCAAACCGGGAGAUAGCUGGUUCUCCCCGAAAGCUAUUUAGGUAGCGCCUCGUGAAUUCAUCUCCGGGGGUAGAGCACUGUUUCGGCAAGGGGGUCAUCCCGACUUACCAACCCGAUGCAAACUGCGAAUACCGGAGAAUGUUAUCACGGGAGACACACGGCGGGUGCUAACGUCCGUCGUGAAGAGGGAAACAACCCAGACCGCCAGCUAAGGUCCCAAAGUCAUGGUUAAGUGGGAAACGAUGUGGGAAGGCCCAGACAGCCAGGAUGUUGGCUUAGAAGCAGCCAUCAUUUAAAGAAAGCGUAAUAGCUCACUGGUCGAGUCGGCCUGCGCGGAAGAUGUAACGGGGCUAAACCAUG
This 600-nucleotide ribosomal RNA is filed under the name Escherichia coli. Its description in RNAcentral is "partial 23S ribosomal RNA". It matches the Rfam family "Bacterial large subunit ribosomal RNA", at positions 590 to 1191 of the family's 2925-position model. Lineage: Bacteria; Pseudomonadati; Pseudomonadota; Gammaproteobacteria; Enterobacterales; Enterobacteriaceae. The record is from RNAcentral.